Molecule: long non-coding RNA, 207 nt
Filed under: Lathyrus oleraceus (garden pea)
Lineage: Eukaryota; Viridiplantae; Streptophyta; Magnoliopsida; Fabales; Fabaceae
Description: Pisum sativum (pea) long non-coding RNA (PSAT_LNC002335)
Source: RNAcentral
UAGUCACCAAAGGGCGCUUGGCCCAGUGGAUGAGGGUUGACCCCAUGACCCCAAGCCAAGGGUUCAACCCCUAGCGCCCCCCAUUUUGUGUUUUCUCUUUUUAUUCUUUUCUUAUGUUUAAACCAUUUAUUUUCUAUUUCAUUUUAUUUUUUUCACCACCCAUUUUAGUUCUGAUUAAAAUAUUUCCAACAUAAACUUGGUUUAUUU